Molecule: ribosomal RNA, 497 nt
Filed under: uncultured bacterium
Lineage: Bacteria
Description: partial 16S ribosomal RNA
Rfam family: Bacterial small subunit ribosomal RNA
Source: RNAcentral
GAUGAACGCUGGCGGCGUGCCUAAUACAUGCAAGUCGAGCGAACAGAUGAGGAGCUUGCUCCUCUGACGUUAGCGGCGGACGGGUGAGUAACACGUGGAUAACCUACCUAUAAGACUGGGAUAACUUCGGGAAACCGGAGCUAAUACCGGAUAAUAUAUUGAACCGCAUGGUUCAAUAGUGAAAGACGGUUUUGCUGUCACUUAUAGAUGGAUCCGCGCCGCAUUAGCUAGUUGGUAAGGUAACGGCUUACCAAGGCGACGAUGCGUAGCCGACCUGAGAGGGUGAGCGGCCACACUGGAACUGAGACACGGUCCAGACUCCUACGGGAGGCAGCAGUAGGGAAUCUUCCGCAAAGGGCGAAAGCCUGACGGAGCAACGCCGCGUGAGUGAUGAAGGUCUUCGGAUCGUAAAACUCUGUUAUUAGGGAAGAACAAAUGUGUAAGUAACUAUGCACGUCUUGACGGUACCUAAUCAGAAAGCCACGGCUAACUACGUG